This is a non-coding RNA of Larimichthys crocea (large yellow croaker), 104 nucleotides long. Lineage: Eukaryota; Metazoa; Chordata; Actinopteri; Sciaenidae. The record is from Rfam.
CAUCAUGGUCCUUUUGCUUUGAUCUUUUGCGAAUGUAGAACCAGGGUCAGGCCUGGUUAGUACUUGAAUGGGAGACCGCCUGGGAAUACCAGGUGCUGUAAACU